This 3217-nucleotide unclassified non-coding RNA is filed under the name Hevea brasiliensis (rubber tree). Lineage: Eukaryota; Viridiplantae; Streptophyta; Magnoliopsida; Malpighiales; Euphorbiaceae. The record is from RNAcentral.
AUGGCUUCUCCACAGUUCUGCUUCUGCCAUGCUGUUGCUGCCAAUCCACUGCCCAUGGCUCCAAAGCAAGCUCUUUGCUCUCUAAUACUAAAAUCACCAUUUUCAUCUUCCAUUACGAGGUCUGCAAAGUCUCAUUAUCAUCGAAAUUGUUGUUAUAGUUGCACAGUCGAUGCAUGUGUCGAUGUCAAAGAACUGAGAAGCCCAGACCUGGUGGCCUUGGAGUACGCUGACCUAAACCUCACUGAUAAAAUUUCUAGAGUAAUACCAUUUCAUAUUAAUUCAUAUUUGUAUAUGUUAGAGCAUUUCCCCCUUCCCCUUCUUUGGUCUUUUGGGGACUGAAAUUUUGAGCUUUCUUUUUUUGUUUUAUUAUUUUUCAAUUUAGGAACUGGGUCAUGUUAGAAUCAGGCAACAUGUGAACCCUCUGAGUUCCUCGUUUUCUGUAAGUAUGAAACUUUUUUUUUAGGGUUUAGAUAUAUAAUAUCCUGGUAAUAUGUUUUAUUUUUUCAAUUAUGAUUAGAGUGAUAACAGAAGCAUCCUCUGAUUUUAGUUGUUGCUGCGUUUACUUAAGGAGAAGCGUUGCUUUCUUGAUAAAAUUUUGGUAGGCAGGUGCCAGCAAGAAUACCUGAUUGGAGGGAAGUCUUCAGGAACCCAACAUUACCACUCAUGGUGGAUAUUGGAAGUGGUAGCGUUUUUCGCCUUGUCCUUCCUUUUGCGUAUAUUUUGCUUGCUUCUCCAUUUUGACUGUUUUGGUAUUUAUAAGUUAACGAGGAUUAAUUUAGUUUGAUGGGGAUAUUAAGCUUCUGGCAUUUAGAGGAGCAAAUUAAAAGCUUAAAAAUUUAAGGUGAAGAAAUCCAAAAUCAUAUAGGAUUAAGGCCUAGGGUCUUUGGUUUAUUAUUUAGAAUAUGUUAUACAGAUAGGAAAGGUAUUUUUGGCUAGUGGCCCUGAAAAUUUUAUUACUACAUGAUUCUGUUCCUGAAUUAUGUGCUGAAGUAAAAGAAAAUCAUGCAGUCAAUUAUUCCAGUGGCGCAGAUUUUUCCUAGCAUUUGCUCCUAUUGUUAAUUCUGCCUUUCAAAAUUUGGAGUGGAAGGUUUCUCAUAUGGCUUGCAAAAAAGAAUCCAGAUUCAGCAAAUUAUUUGGGACUUGAAAUACGGCAAAAACUGGUCAAGCGUGCUGAACUCUGGGUAAAAGAGCUGGCUCUUGGUAACAUACACUUCCUGUUUGCAAAUGCUACAGUUUCCUUCAGGCAAUUGGUUCUUGAGUACCCUGGACCCUUGAUGUUUGUUUCAAUUUUGUGUCCAGACCCUCAUUUCAAGAAAAGGCAUCAUAAAAUGAAAUAUUGUGCAGAAGCCGUUUGUAGAUUUUAUCAUCAACAAUGUAUUGCCUGGAGGAAAGGUUUGUGCUCUAAACAUUCAUUAUUUUGAUAAGGAGGCUGACCUUUGUUUUUCCUCUUUGGCUUUGUAUUUCUCAUUAGUGAUCCUUCUAGAAUCUAGAGCCCAGGUAGGAAAUAUGUAUCUUUAUUCUCUGUUAUUUUUUAAACAGUCCAUCUCCAGAUAAUGCCUAAACUAUUUAGUAUUAUUUCCUUUGAUGAUAUGAAAGUCAAAGAAUUGUUCUGGAAAGUAGAGACCUGAAGUGAUGAGGUUUCAGUAAGGAACAUGCUUUGUUAGUCAGUCCUGCUAAGGACAUAGAAUAAUUAAAUGUUUGUUGCUGCUGCAAAAUGAUAUGCUGGAAAUGACUUUGAACAAUUUGGCAGCAGUUGUUGACAAUAUUCCCAAAUGCCAACUCAUGUAUAAUUGUUGUUUAACCAUAAGAUACAUUUGAUCUUUCUGAAGAAUAAAUUUGAUGAAUUAAUGAGUUGGUGGAAAUUUAGAAAUAUAAAUGAAAUAGGCAAGUAGCCAUAUCAGUAUUAAGAUGUAUUUGAAUUACAUGUUUAGCUUAAUGCAAAUUUUAAUAUAUAAAUGAGGAAUAAAGGUCUGGCAUGAGGAAAAAUAAAAAGAAACGAACAGAAGGAAGAAAGAAAAAAAAAAGUGCCCUGUUCUACACCAGAUCACUAAAGAAGCCAGAAUGAGAAAUAGAUUAAAAAUUAAACUAGGAGAAGACAAAAUUAUGGGUGUCUCUUGACAUUCAAUCUGAUUCUUCUGCCACACCAAAAUCUUAUGCCUGUUGAAGAAUAUGUAAUCUGCUUUGACACAGUGAGAUGAAUCUGUGUUCUUUUUCUUCUCCGUUACUUUUCUCUUCUCUUUUCUUUUAAGCUUAAUCUCCUUGCAUGGUAAGAUUGUGGAGUUAUUAGAAUUGUCGUUAGGUAUCUGGCAUAGAUUGUGCUUUUAUAUUAUAUCAUUUAAAAGUAAGGAAAUUUUACUGUUGAAAUCAAUCUCAUACAAACUCGCUUAAGUAUGCAAUCUUUAUACUUGUCUAGCAGUAUUUCUUAUUUUUUGUGAAUGUACCAGGUUUUUGUGCAGUCUGAUGUGCUUGAGGUGGCACUUGACAUGAGGAAUCAAUUUGAUGCAGAAUCACAUGUGCUUCAACACAUUGAUGAAACUGAUCCAAGCAAAUUGAUUGACGAUGAUGGAUGGCUUUUGAAUAAUCCAAUGGGAAUAAGGACUGAAAGAGAAAUCCAUGCAGAAUUUGAAGGUGCUAAAAUUUACAGAAGGUUGUACCAAAAGCGGACAUAAUAACAAGCUUUCUGCUAUUGCAAGUGUUCCAAGUUUGCGUAGGAGGUUUGAAAGUUCUUUAUAUAAUUCAAGCUCAUGCUUAUGAAAUUUGUGAAAUAUAGAGAGAUUUUUGCUCAUAUUCAUCAAUGUAUUUUUCUUGUAGCAAAAGAGAUAUGUCAGGUAUUCUUUCUUUCUUUCUUUUAUUCAAUACAAUUUUCAAGGGCUUACUCUAUAGUAUCUUGUUAUGUAUGUUUAUGGAAUUAUGAAACAAUUUGAACAUAAAGAACUGGCCUGUCUUUUUGCAUUCUCAUACUUGAUGAAAUGUGUGCCAUUAUUGGUGUUAUAUCAUUUUUCCCAGGUGAAAUUAUAAUAUACUCCUGAUGUGCUGAAGUUAUAUUACGACAGAACAUGUGCUUCGGAAAUACUGAAUAAUCUAUUAUUUUUUUCUCAGAAACUUCAGCCCUAAAGAAAAGUAAAUAAAAAGAAUCACCAUUUAGUUAGCGUUUCAUAGUUUAGCAGUUGGAAUGUUUCAAUUAGAUAAUGAAAAUUUAACAGCAUUUGGACUCCUU